Long non-coding RNA from Portunus trituberculatus (swimming crab), 1029 nucleotides. RefSeq lists it as uncharacterized. The record is from RefSeq and is a predicted model, not a curated record. The transcript is spliced from 2 exons. NCBI's taxonomy places the organism in Eukaryota, Metazoa, Arthropoda, Malacostraca, Decapoda, Portunidae.
AGACAGACAGACGGAUGAGUAGAUAGAUACAUGGUCUAACAUGUUCGUGUACUUAAGGAGUCGAACAGAAUUGUUGAUAUCUGGAAUAAGCUUCCUUCACAAAUUACAAACACCACUUCUGUUGCAUCAUUGAACAGUAACACUGACCAAUAUAUACAAGUUCACCCCAGCAAGCUCUUUUCUGGUCCCAAUACCCACACGCGUCACUCCUGACCAUAGUGUUGUUCCUCACCACAGUGUUGCUCUGUGAGGCUUUCAUCCUUCCAGCCAGACAUGCAGAGUUCAGCGUGGGGUGAAUGGUGUUGUUCCUCACCACAGUGUUGCUCUGUGAGGCUUUCAUCCUUCCAGCCAGACAUGCAGAGUUCAGCGUGGGGUGAAUGGUGUUGUUCCUCACCACAGUGUUGCUCUGUGAGGCUUUCAUCCUUCCAGCCAGACAUGCAGAGUUCAGCGUGGGGUGAAUGGUGUUGUUCCUCACCACAGUGUUGCUCUUACGUCGCGGAGUGGUGAGGUGGUGUGGCGGCCAGCCCUCUGGUGGAGCACAUCGCACAGCACUCUCCACGUUAAUUUCUCGCAAAGUGAAGCAAAACUCAACUUAUGUGUAUAGAGUACUUUCCACUCAGAAUGACAUGUGUAUAGAGUACUUUCCACUCAGAAUGACUUGAACUAUCACAUCGCAAAGUACAGGACCUUAACUCACUGGACGUGCACCCAGUGUUGCCACUCUAGAAUUUCAGAAAACACAAGAUUGUCCCUCCAAAAAAGACUAGAUUGACCGAAAAACAACUAGAUCUCCGUAACUUCUUCCCGUUAUUCCCACGCUAAUGACAUAUGAGGCUUUUGUUUUUUUCAUAGUCAUUUUCUUGGCAGUUUCACAGUCAGGAAACAUCUUUUUCAUUAACUCAACCAAAUGGUCUGCCUGGGAAAAUGCUAUUCCAUGUUCUGCCAUAUAUCCACACAACAAUAAUUCUGCAUUGUUAACUUUAUCUUUCGGGUCUUCCACUGAUUUCUUUAAGAAAUGCUGAAUAUUCA